UGGGGAAUUUGGACAAUGGGCGAAGCCUGAUCCAGCAAUGCCGCGUGUGUGAAGAAGGCCUUCGGGUUGUAAAGCACUUUUGUCCGGAAAGAAACCCUUGGCUCUAAUACAGUCGGGGGAUGACGGUACCGGAAGAAUAAGCACCGGCUAACUACGUGCCAGCAGCCGCGGUAAUACGUAGGGUGCAAGCGUUAAUCGGAAUUACUGGGCGUAAAGCGUGCGCAGGCGGUCCGCUAAGACAGAUGUGAAAUCCCCGGGCUUAACCUGGGAACUGCAUUUGUGACUGGCGGGCUAGAGUAUGCAGAGGGGGGUAGAACUCCACGUGUAGCAGUGAAAUGCGUAGAGAUGUGGAGGAAUACCGAUGGCGAAGGCAGCCCCUGGGCCAAUACUGACGCUCAUGCACGAAAGCGUGGGGAGCAAACAAGGAUUAGAUACCCUGGUAGUCCACGCCCUAAACGAUGUCAACUAGUUGUCGGGUCUUCAUUGACUUGGUAACGUAGCUAACGCGUGAAGUUGA
This 517-nucleotide ribosomal RNA is filed under the name uncultured bacterium. Its description in RNAcentral is "partial 16S ribosomal RNA". It matches the Rfam family "Bacterial small subunit ribosomal RNA", at positions 356 to 868 of the family's 1533-position model. The record is from RNAcentral.